UCCCUAGUACGGCGAGCGAAGCGGGAAUAGCUCAAAUUUGAAAUCUCCGGUGCCUGCACCGGCGAAUUGUAGUCUGUAGGGCCAGUUUCGCCCGACGCGGUGUCCCCAAAGUCGUCCUGGAAAGGCGGGCCGGAGAGGGUGAGAGCCCCGUGUGCGGGGGCACCGUGGAAGGUAAGAUCUGUGCCCGAAGAGUCGGGUUGUUUGGGAUUGCAGCCCAAAAUGGGUGGUAAACUCCAUCUAAAGCUAAAUACUGGCACGAGACCGAUAGCGAACAAGUACCGUGAGGGAAAGAUGAAAAGCACUUUGAAAAGAGAGUCAAACAGUACGUGAAACCGUCGGUAGGGAAACGAACGAGGUUGGUGCAGUGAUUGCGUAGGCUCAGGCUGUGCCGAAGGUGCCGUCAGGGUGACCCAUGCGUCCCCGGGCGUCCGCCGGAGGCAGAGCCGUACUCCUCGCGAGCACGGACCAGCAGCGGUUGGAGGGGAGCCAGAAGGCCAUCGGGACGGUGUGUCAGGUCGGGCUUGCCCGCCCGACAACUUAUAGCCCGGCGUGCCGGCGCUCAGCUCGGACCGAGGAAGGAGGGCAGCUCUUGCCCGUUUGUGGUGCACGCCGUAUGGCGGGGCCUCCCGUCGAGGGCGAGCCGUGCGGGGUUGACUGCGUGCAGUGCUCACCGUCACGGCGGACCCACGGUGGAGAGCGUCACUUGUGCACCAGUGCUGCUGGUAUUGGGACGGCCUCGUCCGACCCGUCUUGAAACACGGACCAAGGAGUGCAACAUGUGCGCGAGCCCUUUUGGCGGCAAACCAGAAGGCGCAAUGAAAGUGAAGGCACGGUCGCCGUGCUGAGGUGAGAGCCGGCCCCGGCGGGACGGCGCAUCAUCGACCGAUCCCAUCCGUGUUGUCCGCAGCAUGGCGGGAUUCGAGUGAGAGUGUACCUGUUGCGACCCGAAAGAUGGUGAACUAUGCCUGAAUAGGGUGAAGCCAGAGGAAACUCUGGUGGAGGCCCGUAGCGAUUCUGACGUGCAAAUCGAUCGUCAAAUUUGGGUAUAGGGCGAAAGACUA
RNAcentral lists this ribosomal RNA (1061 nucleotides) under Dysidea sp. 5 JV-2020. Its description in RNAcentral is "partial large subunit ribosomal RNA". It matches the Rfam family "Eukaryotic large subunit ribosomal RNA", at positions 77 to 933 of the family's 3401-position model. The record is from RNAcentral. Lineage: Eukaryota; Metazoa; Porifera; Demospongiae; Dictyoceratida; Dysideidae.